UAUGAAGGGGGCUAGCGUUGCUCGGAAUCACUGGGCGUAAAGGGUGCGUAGGCGGUUGGGUAAGUCUGACGUGAAAUCUCCGGGCCUAACCCGGAAACUGCGUUGGAUACUACCUGACUAGAGGAAUGGAGGGGAGACUGGAAUACUUGGUGUAGCAGUGAAAUGCGUAGAUAUCAAGUGGAACACCAGUGGCGAAGGCGAGUCUCUGGACAUUUCCUGACGCUGAGGCACGAAAGCCAGGGGAGCAAACGGG
This 253-nucleotide ribosomal RNA is filed under the name uncultured bacterium. RNAcentral describes it as "partial 16S ribosomal RNA". It matches the Rfam family "Bacterial small subunit ribosomal RNA", at positions 524 to 776 of the family's 1533-position model. The record is from RNAcentral.